Molecule: microRNA, 21 nt
Filed under: Mus musculus (house mouse)
Lineage: Eukaryota; Metazoa; Chordata; Mammalia; Rodentia; Muridae
Description: mmu-miR-7652-3p
Source: miRBase by way of RNAcentral
UCUGGCUUUCCUGUGGCUUCU